UAUACCUGAGUUUUGACAAAGGUUAUUCCAUGCCUGUCGCAAUCAUCGUCGAUAUUUUCAAGCUCCUCGAGAAUUCCAGCGCACUGUUCGCAGUCAUACAUUCCUGCUUGGCAGUUGGCAGCGGCUGUGGGACUGUCAGACUUACAAAAGUACACAGCCAGGGCGUCAGAUUCUCGAAUAAGAUGAAGAAGAUCUUCUCCCUCCAGAGCCUCGAUCACUUCUCCAGAUGGAUCUUUCUGGGUCAAAAGCCACUGUAAAAUUUGUUCCUCGUCGUAAAGGUCGCCUGAGAGAAAACGUUCGAAUAAGUUUAUCUGACCAGCCGUUUGACAUCGAGAAAGAAAAUGUGCAG
RNAcentral lists this unclassified non-coding RNA (349 nucleotides) under Athalia rosae (coleseed sawfly). RNAcentral describes it as "misc RNA ENSAEAG00005002456.1". Lineage: Eukaryota; Metazoa; Arthropoda; Insecta; Hymenoptera; Athaliidae. The record is from RNAcentral.